This 93-nucleotide transfer RNA is filed under the name Termitomyces sp. T159_Od127. Its description in RNAcentral is "tRNA-Glu". It matches the Rfam family "tRNA". From Rfam's summary of the family: Transfer RNA (tRNA) molecules are approximately 80 nucleotides in length. The record is from RNAcentral. Lineage: Eukaryota; Fungi; Basidiomycota; Agaricomycetes; Agaricales; Lyophyllaceae.
UUGGAUAUGGUGUAACGGCUAACAUUGCCGCCUCUCAUGAGUCUGGUUGAAAAGACCACGCGGCAGCUCGGGGUUCGAUUCCCCGUAUCCGAA